AUUGAACGCUGGCGGCAGGCCUAACACAUGCAAGUCGAACGAGUGGCGGACGGGUGAGUAAUGUCUGGGAAACUGCCUGAUGGAGGGGGAUAACUACUGGAAACUGUAGCUAAUACCGCAUACCCUCAGCUGUUCCCAGAUGGGAUUGGCUUGUAGGUUGGGUAACGGCUCACCAAGGCGACGAUCCCUAGCUGGUCUGAGAGGAUGACCAGCCACACUGGAACGGAGACACGGUCCAGACUCCUACGGGAGGCAGCAGUGGGGAAUAUUGCACAAGGGGCGCAAGCCUGAUGCAGCCAUGCCGCGUGUAUGAAGAAGGCCUUCGGGUGGUAAAGUACUUUCAGCGGGGAGGCGGGAAACGAAGAAGAAGCACCGGCUAACUCCGUGCCAGCAGCCGCGGUAAUUG
RNAcentral lists this ribosomal RNA (406 nucleotides) under uncultured bacterium. Its description in RNAcentral is "partial 16S ribosomal RNA". It matches the Rfam family "Bacterial small subunit ribosomal RNA", at positions 30 to 527 of the family's 1533-position model. The record is from RNAcentral.